UUACGGCCAGAUCACGUUGAAACAUUAAUUCUCGCUCGAUCACCAAAGUUAUGCAACGUCGAGCCUGGCCAGUACCUGGGUGGAUGACCGAUUGGGAAUAUCAGGUGCUGUAAG
Molecule: non-coding RNA, 114 nt
Organism: Acanthosepion pharaonis
Lineage: Eukaryota; Metazoa; Mollusca; Cephalopoda; Sepiida; Sepiidae
Source: the annotation of a GenBank genome assembly